Molecule: long non-coding RNA, 845 nt
Organism: Symphalangus syndactylus (siamang)
Lineage: Eukaryota; Metazoa; Chordata; Mammalia; Primates; Hylobatidae
Source: RefSeq, a predicted model, not a curated record
AGCAUUGUCUUCUUUGUUCAGAGGCCUCUUCUCCGGGGGCCACCUGGGACCCCUCCAACCCAAGCUGACGCACUUCCCACCAUAGCACUUCAUGGCAAAUCUUCCUUCUCCGUCUGCCUCUGUUAGCACUUACAUGAUCCACAUGCUUGCAGCUCAGUUCAACUCUUAAAAAUCAUCUCAUCUCUGGGCUUUCAUUUCCUGGAGACAAAGGCACGAAGAAGUUGGCUCUCUUUCUCAAGAUUGCAAAGUUGCAAAACCCAGCUCCAAGUCCAUGACCUUCCCAUCACCAAACCCCACACUUGAACAAGUGGACAAAUACACCUCAGCAGGCACUGGCUAUAUACUGGGUAUGGAUUUCAAGUGUGAAGGAAAAAGAAAAACUUUAACUCUUUAUCCUAUUUAACAAAAAUAAUUAAGAAAUGGAAUGUUCUGAUUGAAAAUUACCAAGCAUAUGAUGUAUGGAUGAUCAAUUUUUGAAGAAUUGGAAACAAUUAGAAAUUAGAAAACAGAAGCCCACAUCCUUUGAAAUCCAUACUGCAGGUGAGCCCAGUGUAAAGACAAGGAUUCUUAAAUGAGGAAGAGGGAGGCAGACAGUCUGAACCAGAGAGAUGGCAUCUGAAAAAGGCUCCGUCAGCCUUUGCUGGCUUUGAAGAUGAAAGGGAGCCAUGAGCCAAGGAAUUCAGGCAGCCUCUAGAAGCCAGCAAAUGCGAGGAAAUGGAUUCUCCCCUAGAGCCUCCAGAAAGGAAUUCUGUUCAGCCAACACCUUGAUUUUAGCCCAGUGAGACCCAUUUUGGACUUCUGCCCUCCUCCGGAACUGUAAAAUAAUAAAUUUGUGUUGUUUUAAA